Molecule: unclassified non-coding RNA, 379 nt
Filed under: uncultured bacterium
Lineage: Bacteria
Description: contains 16S-23S intergenic spacer region
Source: RNAcentral
UCCGAGUUGACCCCGGCAGUCUCCUGCGAGUCCCCGCCAUUACGCGCUGGCAACACAGGACAAGGGUUGCGCUCGUUGCGGGACUUAACCCAACAUCUCACGACACGAGCUGACGACAGCCAUGCAGCAUCUGUGCUUCCGUCCCGAAGGAGGCACCCCUUUCAGGGUGUUGCGAAAGCAUGUCAAGCCCAGGUAAGGUUCUUCGCGUCGCAUCGAAUUAAACCACACGCUCCGCUGCUUGUGCGGGUCCCCGUCAAUUCCUUUGAGUUUUAGUCUUGCGACCGUACUCCCCAGGCGGUCCACUUAAUGCGUUGGCUUCGGCACGGAAGGGGUCAACUACCCCCCACACCUAGUGCCCAACGUUUACGGCGUGGACUAC